RNAcentral lists this long non-coding RNA (1113 nucleotides) under Androctonus crassicauda. The record is from RNAcentral. Lineage: Eukaryota; Metazoa; Arthropoda; Arachnida; Scorpiones; Buthidae.
GAAAGUAGAUGAAGGAUUUCUCUCUGCGUUUUAUGUUUCGACAUUUCGUCAAAAAUAAAUUUCUCUUAGAUCAAAAGAUUAAUAAAAAAAAUCAAAAUUCACAGGUAUGUAUGGUAAAUAAUCUGUUGGCGCAAAAAAAGACAAAUCAUCUCUCUCCUCGCUCCAUUAAUGCCUACUAUAACCCUAGCGUGAUACCUUUAUGCGGGUUUUUUCAUAAAGGUACGACGUAAUUUUCUAAUAUCUAUGAUGGCGCGUGGUGGUUCUAUCGAAGACAUCAGAUGGUAAGGAUUAUCGAUACCUUUAUUUUUCACAAAAUAAAAUCGCGACUUUUUGUGUAUAUUCGCUCGAUGAAUAAAUGUAUCUCGGACACGUUAUAGAGAUUAGCAAAAUUUCAAUUUUAUAUGGUUGAAUAAAAUAUAUAUGAAAUAUUUCAGUUUCAUAGGAAUAAUGCCCUUGGGUAUGGGCGGAUCCGUCAGCUGUAGACCAAGCGUGGCCAAAUAUUUUUUUCUGAGUACCAAAUUCAUAUUCUUAUAAUGAUAAAUGUUUUUAAUCGUAAUUUUUCGUUUUGGUUUUCCAUUAAUCAACAAUAAAAAUAAAUCCAGAAAUUGGCUUUGGUUCGAUUUAAAAUCGAUGUUAUCUGGCUAUAUCUGGUUCAAAUUCCCUAGUUUAAUAAUAUAUUUUAAAUAAAUUAUGGACCCAGAACCAAAUGUAGCCUGACAUCUAAAUUUAUUCGGAUCAGAGUUACAGUAUUUCAGAAUAAUUGAUAUAUCCUGGUUGGGGAAAAGACAAAAAUUCUUAAUUUGAAAUGCAAAAUAAUCAUUUCUGAUAAGUUAAAAUAAAUUAAAGCAAAAUGGGGAGUUGAAACAUUUAAUAAUUGAUGGUGCUGUUUCUGAUCCUUUCAAUAUUCUCCGUUUAACUUUUAUCCUGUUUGAUCAAUCUUUUUAAAUUUAGUCUACUUCAGCCAGUGAUGAUAUGAAUUUACUCAAAAUUUAUUUAAUGUAGAUAUAAAUAUACUUUUCUAAAAAUAUCAAUUUUCUUCGAAAAUUUCUUAAGAAAUGAAUUUUGAAUUGUUUUUUCCCAGGAAUAAAUCUUUGUUAUAGGUAAGUAUAAAAU